UACGAAGGGGGCUAGCGUUGCUCGGAAUCACUGGGCGUAAAGCGCACGUAGGCGGAUUGCUAAGUCAGGGGUGAAAUCCUGGAGCUCAACUCCAGAACUGCCUUUGAUACUGGCGAUCUCGAGUCCGGGAGAGGUGAGUGGAACUGCGAGUGUAGAGGUGAAAUUCGCAGAUAUUCGCAAGAACACCAGUGGCGAAGGCGGCUCACUGGCCCGGUACUGACGCUGAGGUGCGAAAGCGUGGGGAGCAAACAGG
This 253-nucleotide ribosomal RNA is filed under the name uncultured bacterium. RNAcentral's name for it is "partial 16S ribosomal RNA". It matches the Rfam family "Bacterial small subunit ribosomal RNA", at positions 524 to 776 of the family's 1533-position model. The record is from RNAcentral.